This 1438-nucleotide long non-coding RNA is filed under the name Sorghum bicolor (sorghum). RNAcentral's name for it is "long non-coding RNA (SBIC_LNC009086)". The record is from RNAcentral. Lineage: Eukaryota; Viridiplantae; Streptophyta; Magnoliopsida; Poales; Poaceae.
GGUCCCUAUCAGCUCUGCAACCAAGGCAAGCCCCGGAUGCAUUAACCCCUCCUUGAAUGUUUUAAAUCUUUUAUCACUUAUGAAUUGAAAAUGCUGCAUUAGGUAGUCGAGAAUUGGGUUAACCUACUUGCUGCAUUUACUACCUUGAUAUUUGUUAUCUUGUCCUUGGCACCUGUUUUAUUUUAAAACUGCGUAGUGAUGCUUAGCCCUGCUACUAGAUAGGUUUUCAAACAAGAAAGUUUGAAAGGUUGUUGUGGAAUACUCUUAUGGUCAGUGAUGUUUCAACUUGAGACCGGUCGGUGGACUUGCUUUAAGAAUGGAGUCUUAAAGUAGUGUCUCCAACUGUGUCGGUUAAGGACCGGUCCGUUGAUGGCCCGCUGGGUUGAGAAUUUAUAGUACUAGCCACUUGCCCUCGGUAAGCCCGGUCCUGUGAUCUCUCGACGCGAACAGCUACUCGCGCACUGGGCGUGGAGCGAUGGCGAGAGUAGCGUGUACCCACCUUACGGAUCUGAGAUGACCGGGAAACAUCUAGAUCGGCUGUAGGAUGGUGGGGUAUUGUGCUCUCGGGUGCCACGAACCUGGUCAAAUUUGGGGAGAGCUCGAUUUGGGUUGAUAUAUGCAAGAUUUGGUUCUACAUAUGUCGGGUGGUUAGGAACUCCAGCUGGAUUGCUAAGUGGUUCGAAUCGUCGUUGAUCCCCGAUUGGGAGACUCAAUCCACUGACCCUCAUCGUAGUUAAAUAUGCAACUAAGUGGUAAAAUGAGAAAGGGGGAAAUGUCUCAUGAGGUUCGGAUCCCAAUUCCCGAACUCAGAGUGACAUGAAGCUAUGGCCGUUGGAUAGAAAAUACUUGGAUUAAGGACUAGGAACUUACAGACUUGUCUGUGAGAAGCAACUAGAUAGAAUGUCCUCGAACUCCUCGACCUCUUAAGGAGACGAAUUCGUGGGUAAAACUUGAAAGUAAGGAUGCACUAUUAGUAAGCUUUUUGGCAAAACAAUUUGGCUCCUUGCUCAGCCACUCCUUGUCUACCCCAAGCCUGCAUUCCUAAGUUCUCCUCUUUUUCCGCCGGGUAAGUCUUGUUGAGUACUCCAGUACUCAGGGUUUUAUAACCCCUAUUGCAGGUGCUGACUUAUGCUGCUAAUGGAGGUCAUGUCGGUGGGCGCGACAUGAUUUAUCCACCUCUUCUACCUUAGAAGCUUCACCUAAGAUGCUUCCGCUACUCUACACACCUUUUGGAAAUUUAGUUGUUUAUAUUCCAUCAUAUGUUGUAAAUUGAGUUAUAAAUCUUCCGCACUCCGAUGUAAGUUAUUUUUGUAACAAAUGUUGUAAUGUUGUGGUAACUCCAUGUUGAUCCUGUAUGAGUUAAAAUGUGGAUGAUUCGGGGUCCUCCGAGGGCACCCGACAGACUAUCCAAGUUAUAUGACUCUCAUGUGCAGUAGUC